GUAGAAAUAACAUUAUUUAGGCCCAACACCAGACACAGUAAAUACAAUUGCUAGCUGUUAGCAAAGCAGUGGAGUGACAGGUCGUGCCACUAAAAGCUAGGAAUUAAAAUUGUACUGGGCAAGCCUGGUUGAGCCAGACCUGGGUUCAAAUACUAUUUGCAAAUCUUUCAAAUACUUCAAGCGUUUGCUUAAGCCUGCCUGGGGUGCCAGGUUUGUACUUUUGGGACUUUUCUAUUGAAACAGGCAAGCUCAAAUCAAGCACAGCUAAAGUACUGAAAAUUAUUUUAAAAUAGUAUUUGAACACAGGUUUGGGUCUGAACAUGUGAGCUCUUGAAGAUCCUCUUGAGAGAAGAGCAUAUUAGCACCCCCCCCCCCAAAAAAAACCUUACAGAUACUCAGGAAAAACAGACUUUACCACUCGCCAUCAAACCAACUCAGCCGUCCAACCAAAACCGCCAGUAAUACAGGUACCUUCCCCAGCCCUCAUUAACACUAAGGGGCCAGUCAGUAAUACAGGUACCUUCCCCAGCCCUCAUUAACACUAAGGGACCAGUCAGUAAUACAGGUACCUUCCCCAGCCCUCAUUAACACUAAGGGGCCAGUCAGUAAUACAGGUACCUUCCCCAGCCCUCAUUAACACUAAGGGGCCAGUCAGUAAUACAGGUACCUUCCCCAGCCCUCAUUAACACUAAGGGGCCAGUCAGUAAUACAGGUACCUUCCCCAGCCCUCAUUAACACUAAGGGGCCAGUCAGUAAUACAGGUACCUUCCCCAGCCCUCAUUAACACUAAGGGGCCAGUCAGUAAUACAGGUACCUUCCCCAGCCCUCAUUAACACUAAGGGGCCAGUCAGUAAUACAGGUACCUUCCCCAGCCCUCAUUAACACUAAGGGGCCAGUCAGUAAUACAGGUACCUUCCCCAGCCCUCAUUAACACUAAGGGGCCAGUCAGUAAUACAGGUACCUUCCCCAGCCCUCAUUAACACUAAGGGGCCAGUCAGUAAUACAGGUACCUUCCCCAGCCCUCAUUAACACUAAGGGGCCAGUCAGUAAUACAGGUACCUUCCCCAGCCCUCAUUAACACUAAGGGGCCAGUCAGUAAUACAGGUACCUUCCCCAGCCCUCAUUAACACUAAGGGGCCAGUCAG
Oncorhynchus keta (chum salmon) is the source of this 1145-nucleotide long non-coding RNA. RefSeq lists it as uncharacterized. The record is from RefSeq and is a predicted model, not a curated record. Lineage: Eukaryota; Metazoa; Chordata; Actinopteri; Salmoniformes; Salmonidae. The transcript is spliced from 6 exons.